Molecule: non-coding RNA, 29 nt
Filed under: Bombyx mori (domestic silkworm)
Lineage: Eukaryota; Metazoa; Arthropoda; Insecta; Lepidoptera; Bombycidae
Source: RNAcentral
UCAAAUAAUUGAUCUAAAUACGCAGUAGC